RNAcentral lists this long non-coding RNA (393 nucleotides) under Citrus maxima (pomelo). RNAcentral's name for it is "long non-coding RNA (CMAX_LNC001399)". Lineage: Eukaryota; Viridiplantae; Streptophyta; Magnoliopsida; Sapindales; Rutaceae. The record is from RNAcentral.
AUGGGGGUAAAUUAGUAAAAACGCAUUUAAAAUUAAAAUAGAUAAAAAGUUGCUUUGGAGAUGUGCCCACCGAAACACUCAAAACCAUUUUCUCUUUCAUCAGCCGAAGCACACACAUAUCCAUCCACCUGUAAAUGUUUUGAAGAUGGAAAAAUAAAUCAAAUUUUAGUCACCAAACCCCGCAACUUUAGCUUAGAUUUGUUAACAAGAAAGCGUCGGUGGUGGCUUAAGGGUGACAUCAUGUGAAAAUCAAUGGCGCUCGGUGUCAGACGUGACUGCAUUGAACUGAAGUAAAGAAGGUUAGUCUUUGAAAAAAUUGCGGAUUUUAAUUUUUUUAAUGCAUUCUAUUUUAAAUAAAUUAGAAUUUUAUUUUAUUUUAAUCAUAGAUUGGGG